Long non-coding RNA from Chrysemys picta bellii (western painted turtle), 4585 nucleotides. RefSeq lists it as uncharacterized. Lineage: Eukaryota; Metazoa; Chordata; Testudines; Emydidae. The record is from RefSeq and is a predicted model, not a curated record.
GGCUGGAGGGGCGGGGAGAAGAGCGGAACGUCCCGUAUCCGCCUAUCAGCGGGCUGCUUGGUGGCCUGCCGCUUACGUCAGUCCGCUCCUUUCUGCGACCUCCCCCGCUCGGAUUCCGCUGGGUCCUAAAGUUGAAAGAGCCCGGGGAAGGGUCUUGCUGCAGCCAGGUGGUGGGGCACCCAGGCGGGUCACACCGCUGCUCCAGCCCCGUCCCUGCUGCACGCAGGGGUGUGUUACAGAACAGAGCGUGAAACCCCAGCCGUAGCCAGGAAGCCUGUUCCUGGCAUGCAAUAACCCCAGGCUGCCUGGAGAGAGGAGCCUCAGAAGUGUGCCUUUGGGGAACAGCGCUCCUGGCCUCAAUUGCGGGCUGUGUCCGUGGUUUUUCACGCUGAACCGCUCUGCUUCAUGCCACCCAUCUGUAAAUGGGAGUAAUAACAAUCAACUAUCAUAUUUCAGCAUCGCGGCUGUUCCACCGUGGUUCAAUAUGCUUUGGGCCAUAGGAGUGUGUGAGAACGGCUCUCGAGGGCAGGGCACUCACCUGAGUGCGGGACACCUACCGUCAAAUCCCUUCUCAGGAGGCAGAGGGGGAAACUGAACUCGCAUCUCCUGCAUCCCAGGUUCAAGAACUGAUGUGUUAGACUCCCUUACAACACAGACUGCCUCACUCCCAGUGAGAUGGACCACUUACCUGCUCUCUACUACUCUUAUUGUAACUUCUGAAGAAUAUUAUGGAAGAUUUUUAUUUUUGAGCAAAGACAAGCUGACAGAGAUAAUCUUUAAAGAAAUCUAUAUAACAACUUAUUUCCCAAUGAAGGAGGGUCUGAAUCUGGAACCCUCACCACAGACUGGUUCCUCCAGAAGUGCAGGACUAACUACAUUCGCUAACAGCAAGAGAAAGUUGUUAUCCCACAGUAGGAGAAUUUGAGCCACUGGUACUGUGUGCUGGGUUUAGAGAGUAAUUAGGAGGAGUCUGGCCUGGCUUUCUCCCCCUCUCUUCCCUGGGAUAUGGAGGAUUCCUGCCCUGUGUGGUGCCCCCAAAGAUGCUGGCAAAAUUUUCCUGAGAAAAGCAAGCCACAGCAGGGAAAUGAUGGAGAAAUGGAGGCAGAAAGAGGUAUCCAGUGUCACAAAGCAAAUCAAUGGAAGAGCUGUGAAUAAGACCCAAGGCUCCUGACUCCCAGAACAGUGUCCUAUCCACUGGAUCACACUCAGAGCUAGCAGAGCCAAGUCCAUAUAUUGCUAGUAAAGAGUAAUUGUUUGCUAACGUGUUUUCAUAACCUCACUGUUUGAAUUGUGACUGCCAGUGAUAUCUUUUCUGGUGUUUUAGUCUUUAUGAUUGGAGGAUGGAGCUGUGGGGUGAUCUCCUUUUCCUUCCCACCCCACCCCCCCCCCCGCCAAAAAAAAAGGGUCUACAACUGUCUCUUCAUGAUGGGCAGAUUUCACUUUGGGAGGGCACAGGGCUUAUGUUCAGACUUCCUGGUAUUUUAAAAAUUGGUUUUUGUUUAAUUACUUAUUUAAGGAUGAUAUGAGGCUUCUGAAUUUUAUAAUAACUAACUCACCAUUUGUUUGAUCUAAGCCAUCAUCUCGCUUUUGUUGAGGAGAUGGGGGUAUUUCAUAAAAGAAAAAUCAAUAAUUUAUUUUAUUACUUAAAAGAAAAUAUAGAGAGAACCUCACCAGUAUUUUGCCCGAGCAUAGACAAGUAGUAGGGACGACAGUCUCUAAAACAUGUAAUAUUUAUCAGGCUAAGGGUCAGACUCACCCCCACACUCAGCAAACAAAAAAUUGUGUAACACAAAUACACAUCAUGUACCAAAUGACACGGAGGCAAACAAACCAGAACAAAAAGUUAGCAGAAAAGACUUGGGCUAUCUCAGUGACUCAUAUGUUGGAAUUAUUUCUAGGGGUCCCUAGAAUGAAAAGCCUUACUCAUGUUGCUUAUUAUCAGAGAAAAGAGUCUGACAACGCUAGAAACAGAUCCAUUUUUAUCAUGUCACACAAUUCCCUUGUGUCACUUUUCUAUGGUAGUGAUGGUGUCCAUUUACAUGCACAGACAACAUGGGAGUCAGCUUAACCACAUACUUGUGAAAUCAGACAUCUGCCUGUAGAGUGCAAAAAACAGUUUAAUUAGCUCAGCCAGUAGAGGGAACUGCUAAUCAGUAGUAGUUGCUUGAGCAAAUCUGAUAUAUACUCUGUCCAGUACAGUAUAUAUCCAGUAAGUUAUGGUUUGAGACACGAAUGUAAGGUACUAUGUGUCAGACCUUAAAUCAUUCAACUUGCCUUCCAUGAACUCCCUCCACAAUGCCCAUACAGAUCUUCAUCUCCUUUCAGUUUGACCAGUACAACUCCCUUCUCUAGGGCCCCUUGCCACAUGCAAUGGUAUUCCUGUAUCUCUCUGCCUCACUGAGCACUCAGUUCAUUUCAAAUCUCAGCUAAAAUAUACCAUAUUGUUUUCCCUCUGUGCCUUUUAUUUCCUUCUCCCUCUGCUACUAUUCACAUCUGGAACAUGUUUUGGAAAAUAGUUUGUAUACAAAAAAGGGUCAAAUCUUGCAGUUCUUAUUUGGGCAAAACUCACAGUAAAGUCAUACGGACUUAAGAUUGGGCUGUAAAGUGAUGAUGCUUCCCAGAGACACCCAGGGCUGUGAUGAGGCACCUCACUACCACCUGCCCUUAAGCGUGAGGAGACCUUGUCUGUGCCUGCUGGAGUCAGCUAUCCAGCUCCACUGGCAAUGAUCAACACAAGCACUCCCUGUGAUGCUGGCAGACCAGGUGCCAGCUCAUGUCAAGGCCCCUAGGCCUCACUGAACACUGAUAAAUUGUAGGAGGUCGGGAUUGUUCCUCCCUGUCCAUCUGCAGAGGCCAUGCCCCCUCUCUACAGUGCCUGUGUAGGGGUCAAGUUCAGGGGAAAUUAGCAUGGGCAGCUCGAGCCCUCUGGCAGGAUGGAGCACCAAACAGUUAGGUACCCCUAGACCACUGUCUGGGCAGACCAGAAAAAGACUCAAGGGGCCCUGGCCCUCAGGUAGGGUGGGGUGCCAAACCAUUAGAGGGCUCUGGCCUGCAGUCAGGACAGACAGCAAACAGUCUGACAUCCUAACUCCAGCGAAUGACAGACAAACACAGGCCUCUUUGGCCUGAGGUGGGGAGGCUGCCACCCCAGGGGUGGAGUGGCAGGGAUUAGGGGGACCCGGGCACACACAACUGCACAGGGUCCCAGCUUACGGCCCUACCAGUGGCAGAGUGUUCUGCCACUGGGUCAGUGGGGAUCUGUCUGAAACAUGCUAACCUAGUUUCAGGCCACAAUACAACCGGACUAUCUGAUUCCUAUGCUUCCGCUGUGGGGUACUUGGGUCUUGAGGUUGUCAUCCAUCUCCCCGGGGCAGACAGUUAAUGGCAGCCCUGACAGCUCUUUGGCAUCCCCCGCACCCAGCAGUUUUGGCAAGUCCUCCAGGACUUUGGCGAUGUAGUGGUAUCCAUUAGGCUCAAACUCCAGCAGCAGACAGGAAGACGUCCUCCUCUGGUGGCUCAGGCCCAACUGAGCUUGAGGGUCUGCACUUUGUACUUCCGGUUUCUGUCACGCCCUUCUGUUUCCAGCAGGGUGAGUAUCAAUGUCUUGACACCGCCCAGAAGGGGGUGGCCUGGGAGUCUCCAGGUCUGUUUGGGAGGGAGGCCAUGCCCCCUUGCUACACAAAUGCAUGGUUGGAAACUAGUCUAUCUUACUGUGUGUUAGCAUUUCUAGAAUAGAUAUUAAGUUGAUAAGAAUAUGAUUAAUGUUUAGACCUGAUGAAAUGCUUGUAGGAUGCUGCAUGUAUUGAUAUCACUUAUAACAUCUGUAGCCCAUGCUAUAAAGUUAUAUUGAAUGUUUGUAUUGUAAGCCUCUGUAAUUGUGUAACACAACAAACAGGAAAGAAGCAUUAAUUAGCGUAAAGUGCUGGUUCUGCACACAAGAAGGCGCACAGAAACCAAAUGAGCCAUUGUGAAACAUCGAAGGACAAAGACUUUGUUGAUUGCCUUCUCCCCCCUUUCCUACACCCAUGAAGAGGAGACUGGUGCCAACCCUUAUUUUAUCAGUUUGAACUCUGGGGGAAGAGAAUAAAAAUUCCUGACCAGAAGGAACUUUAUCAUUAUUCUGUUGGAAUUUGGAGAGAGCAAUAUUUCUAAGCAUAAGCAAGGGAUCCCCAAGCGGCUUUGUUUGGGCUAGCCCUAAAUGACAUGCAGAGCUUGCAUAUAUAUCAGCUACUGACACCUUUUGGAACGUGUGUGUUUACCUGCUUUAAGCUUGUAAAUAACUCAUUUCUUUUCUUAGUUAAUAAAUCUUUAGUUAGUUUAUUACAGGGAUGUCUGCAAGCAUUGUCUUUGGUGUGAGCUCUGGGGUACAACGGAGCUGAAAUAAGUGACUGGUAGUAACCUGAAUAUUGCUGUGAUUUUUGGUGUAAGGGACCAUCUGUCACAAAGGCAGGCUUGCCUGGGUGGCAAGAUAGACUGGCCUACCCAAGGGGACUGUCUAUGGUUCCUUGGUAAGGUUGUUAUAGUGCUUGUGGAGUUCACACUUGUUACUUAGUUGAUGAGAUCUAAUUAUAGAAUGUAUAACCAA